GAGCCUUUUUCGGCGCCGCUUUGGGAGCUGCCGCCACUUUCUUUCCCGGAGUUGUCCUAGUCGAAGUCCUGGAUGCCUUGGCAGGUCGCUCUUUAGGCUUAGGUCUAGUCGGAGUUGCCUUAGGUUUUGCAGCAGGCUUAGACUUAGCAGGCGCAGCUUUUGGCUUAGCAGCAGCUUUAGGUUUAGCAGCUGCCUUAGGCUUUGCCUUAGUCUUAGUAGCAGCAACAGCUGCAGCUGCCUUCUUCUUCGCAGGAGCACUGGCAGCUGCCUUAGUUGACUUGGCUUCCUUUGGUUUAGCUGCCGCAGCCUUAGGCUUGGCCUUGGCCUUGGUUUUGGUGGAUGCUUUGGCAG
This 351-nucleotide long non-coding RNA is filed under the name Jatropha curcas. RNAcentral describes it as "long non-coding RNA (JCUR_LNC003361)". Lineage: Eukaryota; Viridiplantae; Streptophyta; Magnoliopsida; Malpighiales; Euphorbiaceae. The record is from RNAcentral.